GAUGAACGCUGGCGGCGUGCCUAACACAUGCAAGUCGAACGGACGCACGAUAAGAUUUUGCCUUUGCUGGUGGCGGGGGGCGGGCGGGUAAGACAUGGAUAAGCAACUACUAUUUCGUGGAGAAUUUCGGGAAAAAGGAGACACUACUGGCUGAUACUAUGUACGGGUUGGUUCAGAAGUGCUAGAGGCCUUUGCUGUCUUAAUUAGACGGAGUCGGGUUGGAUUAGCUAGUUGGUAAGGUAACGGCGUACCAAGGCAACGAUGCGUAGCUGACCUGAGAGGGUGAUCAGCCACACUGGAACUGAGACACGGUCCAGACUCCUACGGGAGGCAGCAGUGGGGAAUCUUGCGCAAUGGGCGAAAGCCUGACGCAGCCAUACCGCGUGGGUGAAGAAGGUCUUCGGAUCGUAAAGCUCUGUUGUUAGGAAAGAACAGAUGUAUAUGUAACUGUGGAUGUCCUGACGGUACCCAAACAAAAAGCCCCGGCUAACUACGUG
RNAcentral lists this ribosomal RNA (497 nucleotides) under uncultured bacterium. Its description in RNAcentral is "partial 16S ribosomal RNA". It matches the Rfam family "Bacterial small subunit ribosomal RNA", at positions 28 to 507 of the family's 1533-position model. The record is from RNAcentral.